AUAGCGUAUAUUAAAGUUGUUGCAGUUAAAAAGCUCGUAGUUGGAUUUCUGACGAACCGGAGUGGCCCGUUUUCAUUUCGGAAAUGAGUGCCGCUUUGAGUUUGUCAUCCUUCCAGAGAGCUGCGUCUACCGUUUACUCGGCCGGACGUAUGCGAUCUGGAUCUAUUACUUUGAAAAAAUUAGAGUGUUUAAAGCAGGCUUAUGCUGUGAAUACAUUAGCAUGGAAUAAUAAUUUAGGACUUUGGUUCUAUUUUGUUGGUUUCUAGGACUGAAGUAAUGAUUGAUAGGGAUAGUUGGGGGUGCUAGUAUUCCGCGGCCAGAGGUGAAAUUCUUGGAUUCGUGGAAGACUAACUACUG
Molecule: ribosomal RNA, 357 nt
Filed under: uncultured eukaryote
Lineage: Eukaryota
Description: SSU rRNA
Rfam family: Eukaryotic small subunit ribosomal RNA
Source: RNAcentral